AAUCCAUGAUGAGGACAUUUCUGCAAAAGGACCUUGAACUGUUCCCAUGUCUCGAACAAGGAUUCUAGCUCCAUCUGAACAUAUUAAGAUAUUUCAUUGUGGAGCUU
Molecule: small nucleolar RNA, 107 nt
Organism: Dioscorea cayenensis subsp. rotundata (Guinea yam)
Lineage: Eukaryota; Viridiplantae; Streptophyta; Magnoliopsida; Dioscoreales; Dioscoreaceae
Source: RefSeq, a predicted model, not a curated record